Molecule: ribosomal RNA, 776 nt
Filed under: uncultured Neocallimastigales
Lineage: Eukaryota; Fungi; Neocallimastigomycota; Neocallimastigomycetes; Neocallimastigales
Description: partial large subunit ribosomal RNA
Rfam family: Eukaryotic large subunit ribosomal RNA
Source: RNAcentral
UCAGACGAUGCGUCAUGCAUAUCAAUAAGCGGAGGAAAAGAAACUAACAAGGAUUCCCCUAGUAACGGCGAGUGAAGCGGGAAGAGCUCAAAUUUGAAAUCUUAAAGGGUUUCCCUUUACGAAUUGUAGUUUAAAGAAGUGUUUUCUGUUGAGGUUUUGGUAAAAGUUCUUUGGAAUAGGACAUCAUAGAGGGUGAGAAUCCCGUAUUUGACCUUUACUUUCAACUUUGUGAUACACUUUCAAAGAGUCGGAUUGUUUGGGAAUGCAGUCCAAAAUGGGUGGUAAAUUUCAUCUAAAGCUAAAUAUUGGCGAGAGACCGAUAGCGAACAAGUACCGUGAGGGAAAGAUGAAAAGAACUUUGAAAAGAGAGUUAAACAGUACGUGAAAUUGUCAAAAGGGAAGCGUUUGACACCAGUGUUGUUUUUCUGAAAAUCAAUUAAAGAACUGUUUAUGACUAAGCUGUUUAGACUUUAUCAGCUAAUCUGUUUAGUUUUGAGCUUUUCUUUAAUGCACUCUUCAGUUAACAAGUCAACAUCAAUUUCUUUUGCUGUAAAAAAGCUUGAGGAAGGUGGCUUGAGAUUCGUCUUAAGUGUUUAUAGCCUCUUGCCUAUGCAGUCGGAGAGAUUGAGGUCUGCAGCGUAGAUCCUUCGGGGCUAAAUGCAUUUGUGCUAAGUUAUAGCAUUUUAUAGACAACUUGUUGACUAUGAUUUGUCUUGUAGCUUACUCGCUUAUGUUAUUUUACCUACGCUUAGGAUGUUGACACACGCGCGUGCUCG